Molecule: long non-coding RNA, 444 nt
Filed under: Chlamydomonas reinhardtii
Lineage: Eukaryota; Viridiplantae; Chlorophyta; Chlorophyceae; Chlamydomonadales; Chlamydomonadaceae
Description: long non-coding RNA (CREI_LNC000272)
Source: RNAcentral
UCUCUUCAGGCAAAAAGACUGGGUCCCGUGUGGUUCCAUGUCUGGCAUAGCAGACCCUCAAAAUCAAUGGGCGAGGCAGUGAAUACCACAUGCAGUUACCAAAGGGACCAGGGAGCCAUUUCGGGGCUACGCGCCCCUUGCCUAUCUCUACCUCAACCGGGGCAUCCACAUAGCCUCGACACGCAGCUUCUCUUUUGGGUACUAAAAGUUAUACACUCGGUACGCCACUAUUCAAUGGAGAGGAAUCCGCUUCCAGUAGGCAAACAACUCCCGCUCCCACUCCUUGCUUCCAGUAGCCAUUCCAAAAAAUCAGGAGAAACCAACAAUUAACCGAACGUGAAUGCAGAGACAAGUCAGAAUGUGUGUCUUCAAACUGUUGGCCAUGUGAAAGAAAGCCGAGCAUGCGCAUCGCCGUGCCUGGAACACGCCGCCACCCGGUUCGCC